This 6164-nucleotide long non-coding RNA is filed under the name Homo sapiens (human). RNAcentral describes it as "HSALNT0188314". Lineage: Eukaryota; Metazoa; Chordata; Mammalia; Primates; Hominidae. The record is from RNAcentral.
GUGCAUAUAUAUAUAUAUAUUGCAUAAUAAAUAAGCAAGGCUAUGCACAAAACUUCCAGUGCAAAAUAUUGCUGAGUGAAAUAUUGCUGAGUGACUUUUCCUUUCUCUUGUGGAAAUUGUGAGAAUUGACUAGGAAUAUGUGAGAAGAUGAAGGUUUAGCCGAGUUCACAGGCCAUGAAUCUGCAGUGAAGAGCAAGCGAAAGCAAGAUCCUGGAAGAUACUGGCAAGUGGCCGGAUCACAGAAUCCAGAUCUGGUAUCUUGUAUACAGGGGAUGAAUGUGGUCUUGUUUCCUUCUUUAGCUGCUGGAAACCUUAGAGCAAAAAAUAAGGCCACUUUUGUAACUGUGUCUGACUCAGCAGCAUAACUUUUCCGUUGUCUUCCAUGUGCUAUCCUGUUUUUAUUUUUCCUUUCCCUUGAUUGCUCUCUAUACAUACAUUUUUGAGAAGUUGUUUUUCUUUAUUUUUCAAACUAAUUCAUUCAAUACUCUCCUCCAGGUAGAGUUUAUAAUUGUUUGUAGUUGAGAAAAUUGGACUAGAAUGAAGCCUUGUGGAAUCCAAGAAGAAUUCGUUAUUCUUUAGCUGCUUUCAUCUCCAACUGUGUUAGGCAUCCUCCUAAGAUGGUCCCCAAGAUGGCAGACCCCUGGAAUCAUCUGUACAAUUUCCUCUCUUUUCACAGGCUUUUAUGAGUUGAUUUUUCAGCGAACCUUCAAGGGGCUAAGGGGAACAUUACCCUUGGCCACUAUACUGCCAACAACCUAUGAGCCUGGAAGAGGAUCCCAAGUCUCAGAUGAAACCAGGACCUCAGCCAACACCUUGAUUUCAGCCUCAUGAGAUCCUAAGCAGAGGGUACAGUAAAGCCACAUAUGGUGCCUAACCAAAAAAACUAUGAGAUAAUAAAGAUGUGUUUUGGAAGCUGCUAAACUGGUGUUGAUUUGUUACAUAGCAAUUAAAAACUAAUAUACAAACACUACGGUAUUUGUUUUCUUCAUUAAUUAAACAUAACGUAUCCUCACUUCUGUAUCCAUCAGUAAGGCAAGGUUCUGUGAUAAAGACCUGCCUGCAUUGUACGUCUGUAUGGUUCCUUUCCCUAUCCCAAAUCUUAGAUGCAUAUUUUGAUUGAUGAUGAUUGUCCUUGAUCUAAGAGAUGAUGUGAUAUCCUGCUACCCCAUUCUUCAACCCCCUCAGACACUGGGAUCAUUGUAGAAUGAUUCAUAACAUUCCCUGGGACCCCAACACAUGGUGUUCUAACGUUUCUCAGUCUACAAUACAGUAGUCCCUAAAUCACAUGACAACUUUUCCUAUUGUAGAAAAAGUGCACGCAGAGGCGAUGUGGUGGCUGAUCUGCGGCAGCAGAUGAGGUCCUGUAUUCUGCUCCUGCCCCACACUGACCAGAUGCCCAUUUAGACAAGGUUUCCCCUGCUUCCACUCAUAGACACAGUUAUCUCUCAGACUCAAGGUGGCCUCCAAGUCCUUAGCAUCCACUUCUUGUAGAAGCAGUGCCUUCCCCUUUGCAGGCCAGUGACUUUUUUUAGAUUCUCAAACACAAAGUGACUGAUCAUUCACCUUUUCCUUGGCCUGAUUGACUAUAGGAAUACCAGAAUGGUGGUGGAGAGGGGUAAGGAGUUGGUGUAAUGUUUCACACCUCAAAGGUAUUCACCAACACUAGGUCACAAGCUCUAUCUCUCUCUCUUUCUCACACACACACACACACACACACACACACACACACAUUCUCUGGAAGGUCAUCUCAUCACAGAUUUACAGCCCUGUAAUCACCCUUGAAUGAACCUCUUCGGGAGGUGCUUGGGAAAGCAAGGAGAGAAGACAGCUUGCUCAUUCUGUCACAUGCAUUAUUGGAUUUGGGCAAUUAUUUUAAUCCCCAUAGUAGAAACUUGCUCAUAUUUCCAUAUUGGUACAAACUCUUCAGUCUACUUAAGUGGAUAUCCAAGGAACUAUUUAAUUUCCAACUUAAUAGUAUCAUGGGGAAAAAAGACAAUAACAAAACAAUUUUGAGUCAAAUAAAUGGUCUCAUAUGAAUGGCAUCUGCAAUACCUUCAACAACUAGGCAGAAGAUAUAUGAUGCUAUCAUAGUUUUCUUUUAAAAAAUCACCAAAGCAGUUUCAUCUUUAACACCCUACCUAAGAUUUCUAAAUGAUAGCCUAUCAAAUUAUAUCCCCAUUAGGUAUAUAAUAGCUCCUUUCUUACCUUAGAUAAAUAUAUUCUUGUUUCACAAGUUUUUUUAAAAGGCUUUGCUUGAAAUUAAAAUCUGACCAACAAACUAGAGCAGAGAUAAUUCCUCAGUGUCAAUAGGCUUCCUUGGAAACUUACCCACAUAUAACCAAUGCAGCUUCACUCGUGUAUAGAAUAUACUGACAGAGAAAAAGAAAAUACAGAUGACAUUACAAUCAUAAACACCCUAUUUCCUGUUUUUAAAAAAACAUGUCUUCAGAAGUGCUUUUUUUACAAAAAUUUAUUUUAAGUUCUGGGAUACACGUGCAGAAUGUGCAGAUUUGUUCCAUAGGUAUACAUGUGCCAUGGUGGUUUGCUGCACCCAUCAACCUGUCAUCUAGGUUUUAAGCCACGCAUAGAUUAGGUGUUUGUCCUAAUGCUCUCCCUCCCCUUUCCCCCAACCCCCGACAGGCCCCAGUGUGUGAUGUUCUCCUCCCUGUGUUCAUAUGUUCUCAUUGUUCAACUCCCACUUCUGAGUGAGAACAUGUGGUGUUUGGUUUUCUGUUUCUGUGUUAGUUUGCUGAGAAUGAUGGCUUCCAGCUUCAUCCAUGUCCCUUCAAAGGACAUGAACUCAUCCUUUUUUAUGGCUGCAUAGUAUUCCAUGGUGUGCAUGUGCCACAUUUUCGUUAUCCAAUCUGUCAUUGACGGGCAUUUGGGUUGGUUCCAGGUCUUUGCUAUUGUAAAUAGUGCUGCAAUAAAAAUACAUGCACAUGUGUCUUUAUAGUAGAGUAAUUUAUAUUCCUUUGGGUAUAUACCAAGUAAUGGGAUUGCUGGGUCAAAUGGUAUUUCUGGUUCUAUAUCCUUGGGGAAUCGCCACACUGUCUUCCACAAUGGUUGAACUAAUUUACACUCCCACCAACAGUGUAAAAGUGUUCCUAUUUCUCCACAGCCUCGCUAGCAGCUGUUGUUUCCUGACUUUUUAAUAAUCACCAUUCUAACUGGCAUGAGAUGGUAUCUCAUUGUGGUUUUGAUUUGCAUUUCUCUAAUGACCAGUGAUGAUGAGCUUUUUUCAUUUGUUUGUUGGCCACAUAAAUGUCUUCUUUUGAGAAGUGCCUGUUCAUAUCCUUCACCCAAUUUUUGAUGGGAUUUCUCAUUUGUUCUUUUUUUCCUGUAAAUUUGUUUAAGUUCCUUGUAGAUUCUGGAUAUUAGACCUUUAUCAGUUGGGUAGACUGCAAAAAUUUUCUCCCAUUCUGUAGGUUGCCUGUUCACUUUAAUGAUAGUUUCUUUUGCUGUGCAGAAGCUCUUUAGUUUAUUUAGAUCCCAUUUGUUAAUUUUGGCUUUUGUCACAAUUGCUUUUUGUGUUUUAGUCAUGAAGUCUUUCCCCAUGCCUAUGUCCUAAAUGGUAUUGCCUAGGUUUUCUUCUAGGGUUUUUAUGGUUUUGGGUUUUACAAUUAAUUCUUUAAUCCAUCCUGAGUUAAUUUUUGUAUAAGGUGUAAGGAAGGGGUCCAGGUUCAGUUUUCUGCAUAUGACUAGCCAGUUUUCCAAACACCAUUUAUUAAAUAAGGAAUACUUUCCCCAUUGCUUGUUUUUGUCAGGUUCGCCGAAGAUUGGAUGGUUGUAGAUGUGUGGUGUUAUUUCUGAGGUCUCUGUUCUGUUCCAUUGUUCUAUAUAUCUGUGUUGGUACCAGUACCAUGCUGUUUUGGCUACUGUAGCCUUGUAGUAUAGCAUGAGGUCAGGUAGCAUGAUGCCUCCAGCUUUGUUAUUUUUGCUUAGGAUUGUCUUGGCUAAACUGACUCUUUUUCGGCUCCAUAUGAAAUUUAAAGUAGCUUUUUUCUAAUUCUGCAAAGAAAGUCGAUGGUAGCUUGAUGGGAAUAGCAUUGAAUCUAUAAAUUACUUUGAGCAGUAUGGCCAUUUUCAUGAUAUUGAUUCUUUCUAUCCAUGAAUAUGGAAUUUUUUUCCAUUUGUUUGUGUGCUCUCUUAUUUCCUUGAGCAGUGAUUUGUAGUUCUCCUUGAAAAGGUCACUCAUGUCCCUUGUAAGUUGUAUUCCUACAUAUUAUAUUCUCUUUGUAGCAAUUUUGACGUGAGUUCACUCAAAAUUUGGCUCUCUGCUUGUCUACUAUUGGUGUAUAGGAAUGCUUGUCAUUUUUGCACAUUGAUUUUUUAUCCUGAGACUUUGCUAAAGUUGCUUAUCAGCUUAAGGAGUUUUGGGGCUGAGACAAUAGGGUUUUCUAAAUAUACUAUCAUGUCAUCUGCAAAGAGAGACAAUUUGACUUCCUGUCUUCCUGUUUGAAUACGCUUUAUUUCUUUCUCUUGCCUGAUUGCCCUGGCCAGAACUUCCAAUAUUAUGUUGAAUAAGAGUGGUGAGAGAGGGCAUCCUUGUCUUCUGCUGGUUUUCAAAGGGAAUGCUUCCAGCUUUUGCCCAUUCAGUAUGAUAUAGGCUGUGGGUUUGUCAUAAAUAGCUCUUAUUAUUUUGAGAUACGUUCCAUCGAUACUUAGUUUAUUGAGAGUUUUUAGCAUGAAGGGAUGUUGAAUUUCAUCAAAGGCCUUUUCUGCAUCUAUGAGAUAAUCUUGUGGUUUUUGUCAUUGGUUCUGUUUAUGUGAUGCAUUAUGUUUACUGAUUAGCAUAUGUUGAACCAGCCUUGCAUCUCAGGGAUGAAGCCGACUUGAUCGUGGUGGAUAAGCUUUUUGAUGUGCUGCUCGAUUCAGUUUGCCAGUAUUUUACUGAGGAUUUUCACAUCAAUGUUCAUCAGGGAUAUUGGCCUGAAAUUUUCUUUUUUUGUUGCAUCUCUGCCAGGUUUUGGUAUCAGGAUGACGCUGGCCUCAUAAAAUGAGUUAGGGAGGAAUCUCUCUUUUUCUAUUGUUUGGAAUAGUUUCAGAAGGAAUGGUACAAGCUCCUCUUAGUACCUCUGGUAGAAUUUGGCUAUGAAUCCGUCUGGUACUGGGCUUUUUUGUUGUUGUUGGUGGUGGUGGUGGAGGUGGUAGGCUAUUAAUUACUGCCUCAAUUUCAGAACUUGUUACUGAUCUAUUCAAAGAUUCAACUUCUUCCUGAUUUAGUCUUUGGAGGUUGUGUGUGUCCAGGAAUUUAUCUAUUUCCUCUAGAUUUUCUAGUUUAUUUGCACAUAGGUGUUUAUAGUAUUCUCUGAUGGUAGUUUGUAUUUCUGUGGCAUCAGUGGUGAUAUCCCCUUUAUCAUUUUUUAUUGUGUAUAUUUGAUUCUUCUCUCUUUUCUUCUUUAUUAGUCUAGCUAGCAGUCUAACUAUUUUGUUAAUCUUUUCAAAUCCCCAGCUCCUGGAUUCAUUGAUUUUUUAGAAGGGUUUUUGUGUCUCUAUCUCCUUCAGUUCUGCUCUGAUCUUAGUUAUUUCUUGUACUCUGCUAGCUUUUGAAUUUGUUUGCUCUUGCUUCUCUAGUUCUUUUAAUUGUGAUGUUACGGUGUCAAUUUCAGUUCUUUCCAGCUUUCUGAUGUGGGCAUUUAGUGCUAUAUAUUUCCCCCUUAACACUGGUUUAGCUGUGUCCCAGAGAUUCUGGUACAUUGUCUCUUUGUUCUCAUUAGUUUCAGAAAACUUCUUUAUUUCUGUCUUAAUUUUGUUAUUUACCCAGUAGUCAUUCAGGAGCAAGUUGUUUCAAUUUCCAUGUAGUUGUGCAGUUUUGACUGAGUUUCUUAAUCCUGAGUUCUAAUUUGAUUGCACUGUGGUCUGAGAGACUGUUAUGAUUUCCAUUCUUUUGCAUUUGCUAAGGAGUGUUUUACUUCCAAUUAUGUGGUCAAUUUUAUAAAGUGCUAUGUGGCACUAAGAAAAAUGUAUAUUGUGUUGAUUUGGGGUGGAGAGUUCUGUAGAUGUCUAUUAGGUCCACUUGGUCCAGAGCUGAGUUUGAGUCCUGAAUAUCCUUGUUAAUUUUUCUUCAUUAAUUAAUUGAUCUGUUCAUUGAUCUAAUAUUGACAGUGGGGUGUUAAAGUCCCCCAUUACAUUACAACUGUGUGGGAGUAUAAGUCUCUUUGUAG